RNAcentral lists this ribosomal RNA (502 nucleotides) under uncultured bacterium. RNAcentral describes it as "partial 16S ribosomal RNA". It matches the Rfam family "Bacterial small subunit ribosomal RNA", at positions 30 to 523 of the family's 1533-position model. The record is from RNAcentral.
AUUGAACGCUGGCGGAAUGCUUUACACAUGCAAGUCGAACGGCAGCACGGGAGCUUGCUCCUGGUGGCGAGUGGCGAACGGGUGAGUAAUAUAUCGGAACGUAUCCAAUAAUGGGGGAUAACUAGUCGAAAGAUUAGCUAAUACCGCAUACGCCCUGAGGGGGAAAGCUGGGGAUCUUCGGACCUAGCGUUAAUGGAGCGGCCGAUAGCUGAUUAGCUAGUAGGUGAGGUAAAGGCUCACCUAGGCAUCGAUCAGUAGCUGGUCUGAGAGGACGACCAGCCACACUGGAACUGAGACACGGUCCAGACUCCUACGGGAGGCAGCAGUGGGGAAUUUUGGACAAUGGGCGCAAGCCUGAUCCAGCCAUUCCGCGUGAGUGAAGAAGGCCUUCGGGUUGUAAAGCUCUUUCGCAAGGGAAGAAAACUUAACCUCUAACAUAGGUUGAGGCUGACGGUACCUUGAUAAGAAGCACCGGCUAACUACGUGCCAGCAGCCGCCGUAA